This 460-nucleotide ribosomal RNA is filed under the name uncultured bacterium. Its description in RNAcentral is "partial 16S ribosomal RNA". It matches the Rfam family "Bacterial small subunit ribosomal RNA", at positions 338 to 795 of the family's 1533-position model. The record is from RNAcentral.
CCUACGGGUGGCAGCAGUGAGGAAUAUUGGUCAAUGGGCGUAAGCCUGAACCAGCCAAGUCGCGUGAGGGAUGAAGGUUCUAUGGAUCGUAAACCUCUUUUAUAAGGGAAUAAAGUGUGGGACGUGUCCUAUUUUGUAUGUACCUUAUGAAUAAGGAUCGGCUAACUCCGUGCCAGCAGCCGCGGUAAUACGGAGGAUCCGAGCGUUAUCCGGAUUUAUUGGGUUUAAAGGGUGCGUAGGCGGGCUGUUAAGUCAGCGGUGAAAGUUUGUGGCUAAACCAUAGAAUUGCAGUUGAAACUGGGGGGCUUGAGUAUGUUUGAGGCAGGCGGAAUGUGUGGUGUAGCGGUGAAAUGCUUAGAUAUCACGCAGAACCCCGAUUGCGAAGGCAGCCUGCCAAGCCACGACUGACGCUGAUGCACGAAAGCGUGGGGAUCAAACAGGAUUAGAUACCCUUGUAGUC